RNAcentral lists this ribosomal RNA (492 nucleotides) under uncultured bacterium. RNAcentral's name for it is "partial 16S ribosomal RNA". It matches the Rfam family "Bacterial small subunit ribosomal RNA", at positions 29 to 507 of the family's 1533-position model. The record is from RNAcentral.
AGUGAACGCUGGUGGUAGGCCUAACACAUGCAAGUCGAACGGCAGCACAGUAAGAGCUUGCUCUUACGGGUGGCGAGUGGCGGACGGGUGAGGAAUACAUCGGAAUCUACUUUUUCGUGGGGGAUAACGUAGGGAAACUUACGCUAAUACCGCAUACGACCUACGGGUGAAAGCAGGGGAUCUUCGGACCUUGCGCGAUUGAAUGAGCCGAUGUCGGAUUAGCUAGUUGGCGGGGUAAAGGCCCACCAAGGCGACGAUCCGUAGCUGGUCUGAGAGGAUGAUCAGCCACACUGGAACUGAGACACGGUCCAGACCCCUACGGGAGGCAGCAGUGGGGAAUAUUGGACAAUGGGCGCAAGCCUGAUCCAGCCAUACCGCGUGGGUGAAGAAGGCCUUCGGGUUGUAAAGCCCUUUUGUUGGGAAAGAAAAGCAGCAGGUUAAUACCCCGCUGUUCUGACGGUACCCAAAGAAUAAGCACCGGCUAACUUCGUG